CCUACGGGAGGCAGCAGUAGGGAAUCUUUCACAAUGGGCGAAAGCCUGAUGGAGCAACGCCGCGUGCAGGAUGAAGGCCUUCGGGUUGUAAACUGCUUUUAUAAGCGAGGAAUAUGAUGGUAACUUAUGAAUAAGGAUCGGCUAACUACGUGCCAGCAGCCGCGGUCAUACGUAGGAGCAGAGCAUUAUCCGGUGUGACUGGGUGCAAAGAGUUGCGUAGGUGGCAUAAUAAGUAGCUAGUGAAAUCUGGUGGCUCAACCAUUCAGACUAUUAGCGAAACUGUUAAGCUCGAGACCGUUAGGGGUAACUGGAAUUUCUAGUGUAGGAGUGAAAUGCGUAGAUAUUAGGAAGAACACCAGUAGCGUAGGCAGGUUACUGGGACGGUUCUGACACUAAGGCACGAAAGCGUAGGGAGCAAACAGGAUUAGAUACCCGAGUAGUC
RNAcentral lists this ribosomal RNA (442 nucleotides) under uncultured bacterium. RNAcentral describes it as "partial 16S ribosomal RNA". It matches the Rfam family "Bacterial small subunit ribosomal RNA", at positions 338 to 795 of the family's 1533-position model. The record is from RNAcentral.